GGCGGCAUAGCUCAGUCGGUUAGAGCGAAGGCUUCAUAAGCCUUAGGUCACUGGUUCGAGUCCAGUUGCCGCUA
Molecule: transfer RNA, 74 nt
Filed under: Planctomycetota bacterium
Lineage: Bacteria; Pseudomonadati; Planctomycetota
Description: Planctomycetes bacterium tRNA-Met
Rfam family: tRNA
About the family: Transfer RNA (tRNA) molecules are approximately 80 nucleotides in length.
Source: RNAcentral